UCCGGUUUGUCACCGGCGGUCUCCUUAGAGUUCCCACCAUUACGUGCUGGCAACUAAGGACAAGGGUUGCGCUCGUUGCGGGACUUAACCCAACAUCUCACGACACGAGCUGACGACAGCCAUGCAGCACCUGUGUUCGAGUUCCCGAAGGCACCAAUCCAUCUCUGGAAAGUUCUCGACAUGUCAAGGCCAGGUAAGGUUCUUCGCGUUGCAUCGAAUUAAGCCGGAGGAAGGUGGGGAUGACGUACCAGUAUCGGAA
Molecule: unclassified non-coding RNA, 259 nt
Filed under: uncultured Lysobacteraceae bacterium
Lineage: Bacteria; Pseudomonadati; Pseudomonadota; Gammaproteobacteria; Lysobacterales; Lysobacteraceae
Description: uncultured Xanthomonadaceae bacterium contains 16S-23S intergenic spacer region
Source: RNAcentral